This 301-nucleotide ribosomal RNA is filed under the name uncultured bacterium. Its description in RNAcentral is "partial 16S ribosomal RNA". It matches the Rfam family "Bacterial small subunit ribosomal RNA", at positions 509 to 807 of the family's 1533-position model. The record is from RNAcentral.
CAGCCGCCGCGGUAAUACGUAGGUGGCAAGCGUUGUCCGGAAUUAUUGGGCGUAAAGGGCUCGCAGGCGGUUUCUUAAGUCUGAUGUGAAAGCCCCCGGCUCAACCGGGGAGGGUCAUUGGAAACUGGGAAACUUGAGUGCAGAAGAGGAGAGUGGAAUUCCACGUGUAGCGGUGAAAUGCGUAGAGAUGUGGAGGAACACCAGUGGCGAAGGCGACUCUCUGGCCUGUAACUGACGCUGAGGAGCGAAAGCGUGGGGAGCGAACAGGAUUAGAUACCCGCGUAGUCCCUGUCUCUUAUAC